GUAGUCUGAGGGGUUUCUGGCAGGUCUCCACACAGGCUAGAGUCUUUAGUGUUCCCUGGCCUUAUUUGCACUCUCCAAGUAAUGAUGAUGGUGUGCAUGUCGCACGGUGUCCUCAUGUGGCUUCUUUCACUGCUGUUUGAGCUUAUUAGUGAGUUCCCUUCUGUGCACUGUAACACUGAUGCCAGUCCUCAGGACAGAUGGUGGCAAGACAGGGUGCUGCAGUACCUGUAGAGUAACAACUCCCCCUGUAGGAUUAAGCCAGGAAAAUCGCUGAGCUAUCUGCAAUUACUGGCUGCAGUUCAUCGAGGCUUCACUGAGGCUUUUGAGGUAAGUAAAAUGCUGCCGUGCAUGUUUUCCAUGGAUUAGUAUUCAAUUUUCUUUCAUUUGUCACGAAUUAAGUUAUCAUGACGGUAUUUUAAGGGUUAUUGAUGAGUAAACAUUCCAAUAUUACAGCUUAUUUGUGACAUGACAUUCAAAUAAUUUCAAGGUUUUCCUAUCCACUUGAAAUCCUGCAUUUCUAAUCAAGUCAAAAUUCGACAUGAGCAUAAUUUUUCUUCUCUCUGCUUCAUUCAUACGUUUUAUUUUUUCUUUGUUUUUGUUUGUUUGUUUUUAUUUAUGCAAGCUGUCUGAUACUUAUGUGGGUCAUCAAAUGUGAAAGAUCUAUGUCAACUCAAAACAUAAUGACAUGUAGAUGAGAUGUUAUUGAUCCCACCCUGGGGAAAUGUACUGGUUACAUCAGCUCAAAGCAAGAAAAAUCGAAAAAGAAUAAAAAAAAAACUACUGGUAUCAUGUGUGUCUGUGGGUGUACAGUAUUGUAUUGCUUUGCAUUACACAUGUUCAGAGAAAUGUAGAGCACCAGAUUAUGGUACAGUGCAUUAUUGUAAGCCCCAGCGAUAGCCUGGCAACAUGUACAGGGUGUCCCCUGUUUCUCACCCUAUGGUAGCUGGGAUAGGCUCCAGCUCUCCCAGAAGAGAAUAAAUGGAUGGACUCAUGGCAUUAUUUUAAUAUUUGUUUAUUCAGCCCCACAGCACUGUACCUUGUUUUUGAACCUUUUCUCGCUCCUGUAAAACAUUUCAGCUUCACUGAUAUUUGGAGAUUUUAGGACGAAUCCCGAUACGCAGCCUUACACAUGCAAACCAUGUCAUCUGCAUAAUAGCUCUUGUGUCUUCCUUUCACCUUUGAAACAAGCAAACAUAAAAGAGUGCAUAUGAAUUGUAAUAGCUUGAAUAUGCUAAUUUAAGUAAAAAGAAAAAAAGUGUCUCAUCCCCAAGAGACAAGCAGAAGAAGAUCCGUGGAUAUGACACUCUGUGGGUGGCUCCUAUACAGUAGAUAUUCUAUAUUAGAAAAAAAAGUGUUGUUUACGCCAAAAAAGCAUGCAUAAUAGCUUACACUGUAAGCCUGGAGUUCCUGGCAAACAAAAAGGGGACUGAAAAAGAAAAUUAUACAUACUAAUGAGGCACAAAAUAUGCGCAUGGCAACUUGUGGCUUGAGAAAGAAAUCAUAACCAGCACUUCAGAUCCCCUACAGUGUGUUUUCUGUCAUAAGGUAUUAGAAAUAUGUGCUUGUUUAAAUGUACGGUAUUCCCUUUAAGCUUUGCAUUUUUUCCCUAUGUGCAUUUUUUCCAUGUGUGUAAAUGCCACAUAUAUGUAGUAAAUGCUACAUAUAUGUGGCAUUUACUUAACACUUUAUCUUACAUCAAAUGGAUUUUAAUAUCACUUCUUCCGUGUGGAUAAAAUAAUAAAGAAAUAGCUUUACUUUUAAAAGACGCAUACUGGUCCACACACAAUAGUACGUAAAUGUAACUUUUGUCGGUGAGCUGGCUUCGGUUGUUUCUGGCAGGCUGUGAUAUUCCAGAUGGUGGCUAGUUUCCCUUCCAGCAGUCUGUCAGGCUUGGCUCCGAGCCACCUGUGAGUAAGGUAGGGGCAGGUGAGGACAACUUGGCAGGAAAACACACUGCGAUACACAAUCCCAGGAGAAGCUGUGGGAUUUGACAGAGGACCGGGAUCAGUAAGAAUUAAUUUCAGCAUUGGCUUUAUUCCUGCAAUACAUUUUACAAACAAGAGUAUCAGUUAGUGCAAUGUUAAAUUCCUUGAAAAUAUAAAGCAGUAUUCCAGCCUUUUCCUUUUGUGAAGGUGUUCUGCUGCUUUUUGACUUCAAUUUGGUUUUCACUCAAUUUCUGCAUUCAUAGUCUGUACAAGGACUGGACCUAGAAGAUUAUAAUCCCUAUGGGCGAGUCUAUGGAAUGUUGGUCAAGUUAGAAAUAUAAACAGAGAAACCAAAUGUGAUGACAUAUAAAAUGUAUUGUGUUUCUAGCAUAUAAUGUUGGGACCGUCAGUAAAACAUCUUUGUCUUUAGCCCUCUCAGGCUCAAAUUAAACUUUUUGUUGCUAAUGCACAACUAAGUCCUGCAGCGGUACUUCUGAGUAAAAAGAACUCAUAAAAUAUGUAUGUGGGGUAAUCAGGUUGUUAGUUUUUAACUGUUGUAAAUCGGCAACGCCUGCCUUGAGAGGGUUAAGAAAUUGAUCAGUGAUUGCACUUAAGGGGACAUGGGGACUCUUGCAAGGAAGGUAAAAUGUACAAAUCCCCUCAUAAUCCUGACGUCUGUUUUCUAAAUGCUUACUACUUUUGUAUUCCUACAUGCCAUUUACCCUUUUUGCAUUCUAAACCCUUUCAACCUAAAACACUUCAGAGGUAAGUGAUAGUGAUGGUUUUUUUUGGUACAUGGUCCCUUUCUGUUACCAUUCCUACAAAAUUAUCUUUUUCGUCAUGGUCCCCAGACCCCACUUUGAGAACUGGUGAUAUAAGCAAACCCUCGAUGAUCCCGCUGAAUAAGCCCCGAGAAAAGAAGCAGGCUGACACCCAGACUGCAGGUUUUCAUCAGGUCACAGUUAAUAUACAGAAUCAUUCACAGAAAUUGAGCCGAUAAUCCUUCAUUAUAACUGCAGUCACAGUACAUUAAGGCGUUCUGCUUAGAAGUGUUUGGCAGCUGCACUAAAACAACUGAUUCUCCAGGCCAAAUAAGGGCAUCAGAGAAACACUAAAGCUCUCCUAUUUAUUUAGCUUUUUUACAGUUUGAUGUUGACAUGUGACAAUUUAGAUCUUCGCAUUUCGGCUCGUGACUGCGUAUCAUCUGGAUGUAAUUGUAAUCUUGCUGUUUUGGCUUAAAUCUUCAAUUUCCUGCAGUCUCCAUCGGACGUAAAAUAGGAUUACAAGCAGCCGUGGGAUGCUUUUAUGUUUCAGCAUGCAUUUUUAUGUACAAAACCUGAACAUAUAAGAAAUAUAUUACAUCUGUAAUCUAACCUACCCUCAUGUUUGUUUUAGCAUUAUCUGCUUUUGUAUCUUUUAUAUUAUACUGUCUACAGCUUUUACUGCUGCCUACUUGGUCACAAGUCCCUUGGAAAUAUCCUUAGUGGGUCUCAUCUCAUCAAAUCUGGGCUAAACUGAUUGGAUAAAAUGGAAUACUGGUGGUUACCUUUAAUAAUAAAAUGCAAUACAAUAAUGCAGACAUAUGUAUUGUAAUGUGAUGUUUAUGUUUUACAUUUGUCAUACUUUUAUUGUUGGACAUGGGAAGUAUUUAUAUCGCAGAGCUUGUAAAAGUGUGCCUGUGGCUCUUCGCAACCACAACAGAAUAACGUCAAACAUACUGUGAGAAGAUGUAAACUGUCCAAGUCGAUUGUUUUGGUAACUUUUAAUGUAAUAAAAAUCUAAUUUUACCUUAUUAUCCAAUUGUUCUGGAGGUGCUGCAAUAAUAUAAACUGUGCAUGACUGCGAUCAUGACCCAUCAGAUUGUAAUCAUAUAAACGCAUCAGUCACACAGAGACGACACACAUAGGCUGAUGAUUUUGUACCGAUGGUUUUAGUGCUGCAUCCUCAACAAGUAAAAUGCUGAAGUACAAUCAGCGCCCUGUUCGCUCUCUACCUAACUUACCUUCUAUUAAUGAAGUUAGUCUGAGUUUACAACAUUGGACCCUCGGGCCAACUUUGUACUUCGGGGUUAUUUUCAUCAGCGGUGUCAGCUCAGGACAAGGCAGCAGAUCCUUCCCGAAAUGUCUCUGGGGAACAACCAAUGUCUAUUUUCCUUGAAAUCAUCCUCUUGCGAAAAACAAACAGACUUGUUUACACUUGGCCUUCCGCUCACCAAUCCUUCGUGACUUCAUCUUCACCUUUAGUAAGAUCAAGAUUUAAUACUCUUUCUGCAAAGGGAGAUAAGCUACUACAGCCAACUGUUACAGGAAGACAAUGACAUCAAAAACAAAACACUCAUUACUAACAGGAAGUUUUCCAGAAAGCACGUGCAGUAAUAAAAAAAGAGUGAGUCCCUAUUUUCUCUCUCUAUCUUUCCAAGUGAAGAGAAUUUGCAGACAGACACACACACAUACGUACACACCACUUUCUCAAAUCCAAUCUGUUCAGUGCAGGAGCA
Astatotilapia calliptera (eastern happy) is the source of this 4422-nucleotide long non-coding RNA. The record is from Ensembl. Lineage: Eukaryota; Metazoa; Chordata; Actinopteri; Cichliformes; Cichlidae.